RNAcentral lists this long non-coding RNA (9559 nucleotides) under Eucalyptus grandis. RNAcentral describes it as "long non-coding RNA (EGRA_LNC005625)". Lineage: Eukaryota; Viridiplantae; Streptophyta; Magnoliopsida; Myrtales; Myrtaceae. The record is from RNAcentral.
GAAACAAAGAUGGUUAAUCAUAAUUUUCAUAUUCCAUUUAUAAUCAAAUUAGACUGAUCCUUCCUUAUUUUCCUUUUAUUCAUUUUAUUUGUUCUGAUACAUAUUUUUUAAGAGUUCAAAUUAACCUUUUUUCUAUAUAAACGGUCACCAAAAUUUAGGUUUCAACGAUACCGCAGACCAGAAAGAGCGCGAUCGCUUCAGAAGAUGUCGAUCACCCUCAACAGCGGAUUCAAAAUGCCGGCGAUCGGUCUCGGCGUGUUAGAUAUGGAGAAGGACGAGAUACGGGACCUCAUGCUGGGCUCCAUCAAGAUCGGCUACCGCCACUUCGAUUGCGCCGGUACCCCCGAAGCCAACUCUUCUUUUAGCUAUCUCCGGAUCCUCGUCUUUUCCAGGGUUUGGUCGAUUUAGUGCGGCCGUGUCUUUUUGGUUUUUAGUUCAUUGUCCGGUGCUGGUCGGUGUUCUGGACCAUCGUCGGCGGUUCGAGAGGAACGGUUUCGGCGCAUUUCGUGUUGUUUUUUUUUUUUUGGUCAACGUUCGGGCGAGUCCGCUGAGAAGAUACUGGGCAGCGAGGGGAUCAGCAGAGUUGUCUGUCGAUUGAAUUUGAGAAUGAUUCGGAACAAGAAAUUACACGGGCUUGUCGUGGUCCUAAAUGCUUGCGUCGGAUGAGUCGCGAGGAUGAUGAAUCUCUGCCCGUGCUUAUGUAGUCUUGCAUGCCGUGGCAUUCGCUGCGUAUGCGAGGAGUUUUUUUUAAUUUAUUUUUAUCGACUGUGUUGAAUUUCGAAACCAUUAUCGUUCAUUCGCGUGAUUUGUUCAUAGUAAGCCGCCCGUAUUGUAAUAACGCUUGGUACAUUUUUUUCAUGUUAUGCAUUGCGAGCUACGUCCUCUGAGAUCGUUGUUUUAUAGUAUUUAACCAGUUCGUGUCGGUGCAGCCGAUUACCAGAAUGAAGCGGAACUUGGCAAGGCGCUUGCUGAAGCAGUGCGGACGGGGCUUGUCAAGAGGGAGGAACUUUUCAUCACCACCAAGGCGAGUUUAGUGAUCAUCCUGCGACUUUGAAUCUAUGCCGCACUAAGUAUGAACUGUCUAAUUUUGCCCGAUGUUCCUUCCCCGUGCAGCUUUGGAAUUCUGAUCACGGACAUGUCAUAGAGGCCUGUAAGGACAGCCUGAAGAAGUUGCAGCUUGAUUAUUUGGAUCUCUACCUUAUUCACUUCCCUGUAGCAACUAAACACACCGGUGAUUCCCCUACCAUUAGCAUCCGAUUCUACUUGCAAACUGUGAUCGAAUUCCAAACUUUAUGAGCUACUCAAUGAGCUGCUGAGCAUUACAUCUUGGUUAAAAGGUGUUUUUCCGCUGAAAGUCAACAGGUGGUAAAUUGGUAAUGAGAAUAAAAUCGAGUAUCCCCACAAGUUGAUAUUAACUAAGUGUGUACACUGGGCUGAGUCUUUUGAUAUAGGUGUGAUACUUUCUUUAUGCUCAUGAUGCACUGCUCUUGUUAAGAAUGGUGGAAAAGUCAACUGCUGGAAAUUUAGAUGUGAAUUUGAUCGCCAAAGAUCAUUUUCCAUAUUCUCCACUCGCCAUUUGUUCACAAAGCAUUAGCGCUUUAUCUGUACUCUGCUCAUGUUAGUACCUUUACCCUUUAUUAGAGUCUAAGACUCUAUCAGAGACAUUUUGUUUUGAAUGCUAAAGAUCUUGUUGUAACGUGUAUACAUGCAGGAGUUGGCACAACUGCUAGUGCUCUGGACGACGAGGGGGUGCUGGAAAUUGACACAACUAUAACUUUGGAAACUACAUGGCGUGCCAUGGAAGAACUCGUCUCAAUGGGUUUAGUUCGAAGCAUCGGGAUCAGGUUUGAGAACUUUUUGGAUGGUUUAACAUUUUCUAAGGCACCUCUCAUGAAAUAUUUAGCAUUUUUACUUGGAAGGGGAAGCUCCAAUGUGACAGUAAAGGAGAUUGUAAUUCAAGGACUUCCUAUAGUCAUUGGGAAAUUUUCUUUACUUCUCUAAGGUAUUUGAGAGGUGACUUCUGGCACUACUUUCAAGGGCAUUUUCGGUGAUGCGUACCCUUUGGAUUUUGUCAUUUUUGCACCAGAUGUUGGGAGCAUAACGUUUCCAUAGCAAUUGAUAUAUCUUUUAUGGAAGGAGUAUCUUUGGUGAAAGGAUUGCACUUUUUUUUCUAUUUUUUUCUCUGGGAAGAUGUGACAAUAAUAAGACUCUUCAAAUGAUGCUGUAUGUGAUGCCCACGGGAGCAGGGAGCAGUCUUAUUGCCUCAGAAAUCUAGGUUUUCCAUUAUGUUCAUCCUCCUUGGAAAUUGAGAUUCUUAAUUCUUAAGUAGUAGUAGUAGUAUCUAUGAGAAGUAAUAAGUACCGACAGAGGCUGGGAAUGUGUUACAAUCCUUUUCUCGAAAUAGAUAUUUUGAAUGCCUUGCCCAUUUUACAGACCUUUCUGAUUGCUCUGACUGUUGUAUGGAAUUUGUGUGCAGCAACUACGACAUCUUCCUAACCAGAGAUUGCCUGGCCUACUCCAAAGUGAAGCCCGCUGUUAAUCAGAUUGAAACCCAUCCAUAUUUCCAACGUGAUUCCCUUGUUAAGUUCUGUCAGAAACAUGGUAUCUGUGUGACUGCACACACUCCCCUUGGGGGCGCAGUUGCAAAUACAGAAUGGUUUGGUUCCAUUUCAUGCUUGGCAGAUCCAGUUCUCAAGGUAAUGCUCCUCUAUAUCAUUCACGGUGAUCUUUUCUUUCUUCUUUUUUGUUUCUGCUGCCUUGCUAUAUUUCUCAAUUCCCCUCUCUUCUCUAUCGAUUCAAGGGUCUGGCUGAGAAGUACAAGAAGACGGUGGCACAGGUAGUUCUGAGGUGGGGUAUCCAGCGCAAUACCGUUGUCAUCCCAAAGAGCACAAAGGUUAAGAGGUUGGAAGAGAACUUUCAGGUCUUUGAUUUCAAGCUGGCAGACGAGGACAUGGCUCUGAUCAAGAGUAUCGACCGGGGACAACGGAAUAAUCAACCUACGAAGUUUUGGGGCAUAAACCCAUUUGCUUGAGUACGUCCAGAAGCAUGAUUUGCUUGGGACGGAUGCUGCUGCUUCAUAGGGAGAAUAAUAAGACGGGAGGUGCAAUGCAUACAUGUAGCUGGUUGAAACACUUGUGCACCGGGUCUCUUAUUGAUUUGCACCUGUCAAUGUUGAAACAUGUUGCAUCACUUACCUGGAAAAACUGUUUGGUUUGAUGUUUCGACGCAAAGUAUUGCGACUACACCUCCAUGGCUAUUUUUGUGGACUUCUUUUGCUACAUUUCCGGGACAAACGAAGUAUGGGCACUCUGCUUCCGUUUUAACUAUAAUCUGCAUUGACCAUAAAGACAUGCAGAGAAAUUCGAGGUGAGAUUACUCGGAUUGGUGUUGCUAGUUGCAUUGUGCAGUUAGAGAAACUGCUUGACUGCAUUAUGCGUGGAGAAAUGUAUAAGUGGCAGGACAACCGAAAAUAUGAUGCGAUGGUCUAGUUAGGGAGUGGUUAUUAAAAUAAAAUCCAUGUAAAAUCCGAAAGCUUAGAGCACGUUUGAUAACGAUUCUAUUCCCGGGAAUAGAUUUUGAUCGGAAAUUAUUCUUUUUUAUUCUAGAAUAGAAUUGCGUUUGUUAUGUAUUCAUUGAUUCUGUUUCAAUUCAAUUUCUUUUAAUUUUUAAAUAAUUUUUUUUUACUUUUUAAAAUUUUUUUUCCCCUUUUCUCCUAUUCUUCUUCUUUUUCAACUUUUUCAAGUGUCCAGUCACUAUUGCGAGGUUGGCCUUCGUCGGUCGAGCCUUGCUAGUGGCCAGGCUGGCCUCGUUGGGGCUAGGCGAGGCUUGCCUAGCCACCGACGAGGCUGAGCCUCGCUAGAUCGCGAGGCUCGCCUAGCCCUGUCGAGGCUCAACCUCGCUGGUGGCCAGACAGGGCUGGGCGAGCCUCGUCGGUGGCUGGGCUUGCCUCUGGUGAGCUCGCUGAACUUCGCCCUGGCCUGACGAGCCUCUAACGAGCUCGUCGGACUGGUUGCCGAUGGAUGGCAAUCGCGAGAUGGCGGUAGAUGAAGAAGAAGAAAAUAGAAGAAAAAGAAGAGAAAACGGAAGAAGACUUGAUUAUUAGAUUUGUUCUUGAAACAAAAAUCAAUUUUUUUUUAAUUCUUAAUUCUAUUUCAAAUCUGUUCUCGGAAACAAAAAAUCAAACGCAAUUUUGUUCCCAAGCUGCUUCUGGGAACAAAAAAAUCAAAAUCAAUUACUAUUCGGAUGGUUACGAAAGAGGCCUUAGUCUCAUUAAGUAGCAACUAGCAGCUCUUGGUUUACAGUCUCAAGAAGUGUAAACACCUAGCUGACCAGAGCAGAUGUAAAUCUUGGUAACCACGCAAUAUACAUGAAGAGCGGUGUUUGUCUGGUGACUAGCCCCGAGUGAGGCGAUAGGCAAAGGGCGGCGGUGGAAGUGGCAGUUGAUUGGAGCUGUAGCGUUGAAUGUAAAAGGAACGAUAUCUUUCUUUCAGAAAAUGGCAUUAGUUUUUGGAUUCUGGCUGGACAGUUGAAAAGGAAUUCAUGCUAAUAGGGUUUCCUUUUUCGAGUCUGUAUCAGCUUUAAAUCUUUGCACGACUCUUUUCAAAGCUUUAAAAAGCCUACGAUGGCAAAGGUGAACCUCAUCCUGUUAUUUUAAAUGCCCUAUCAUAUAUAAAUUUGAGAAAAUUUCAAAUAAGGAUAUGAAUUAAACCAAUUUCUCAAAAGAGAGCUUAGAAUAGAUUUUGUUUUAAAUAAGAGCGCGAAAUGUUUAAAUUAAUUCCAUAUAAAAGCUUGAACUCGAUAGUCGACAAUAAGUAAUUUUUCCAGCAACCAAAGUAGGGGCACUUUUGUCUAAGACAUUGCCAUCCUUAAAAAUCAAAAACCCAAGAUUACUUGUUUUUGUCAUCACUUCUUCUUUGUUGUCGCCACAGCCGGUGUUCUUCCUCUAUAAGCUCACAAGCCUUGGCAACUCUAUUAAGCAUGUAAUUUUAUUUUGUUCUCUCUUUUUUCUUUUUCCCUUUUUCCCAUUAUUGGCCAUCGCUAGGUCUUGUUGAUGGCUACUCUGCCAACCUCAGGCGAGGCCACCCAUGCCGGCCUUGGUGGCCUCGGGCAAGGAUGGCCCUUACUUGAGGCCGAUGGAUCAAUGCGGCUUGGUGAUGGCUAGCGGAGGGAAAAAGAAAAAAAGGAGAAAUGAAGAAAAUAAAAAAAAAAAUCAGAAAUCUUAAAAAUAUUUAUAAAAACUAUCCAUGUGGAUGACAGAUGCUGAUUACAGAUUUAAGCAAAAAUUGACUGAAAUGACUAAAUUAACAGAUUAUCAAAAAGUUCAGAACUAAAUUAACAAGUUGUCGAAAUGUUUAAUGAUUAAAUUAAUACAAUUGAAAGGUUUGAGAUCAAAUUGGUCGCCGUACAAUAAAUUUGAAAUUGAAUUCUCCUGUCUAUUUAUAUAUUCUUAUGCAGUGGAUUUGGCAUGACUGUCCAAUCAAGGGCCCCUAUUUUCCCUUGACAAAAGGAAUUUGUCCACCAUUAAAAGCCGAUGGACUUCCCCCUUUGUCGAGUGCUCGAACUAGGACUCCUCUAUUAUUUUAUCUCUCGGUGAAAAGGAUUCCAACAAUAGAUUAGACAGAUGAUUCCCAAGAAAAAGUAAUCUCGCUCGUGCUGAAUGCUAGAUGAACUCCUAUAAAAAAAAAAAAAAAAGGGAGAGAAUAACGCCCCUUAUAACUAGCGAGAGAGUCCAAGCAAGUUUUAGCCCCCAAGGAGGAAGUGUCCUAAGACUCCCUCUAAGCCUGGCAUAUGGCGAGGAGUGGUUACCUCGCCGGAGUCCCUGUAGUGGAGGCUGUCAAGGACAUUCCGUCUGACCUCCUCAGACCGAGCAAUGACGAUCGCUCAUCCCGCGAUCUCUCCCGCGGCGAUCCCUUUUCCCCCGGUAGACGGGAAGUCAUGGUUUUCCUGGACAAAGAUGGUCUCUCUGUCGGUAGGAUCCCAGAUGGUUUGAGUUUCACUGCCGGCGUCACUUUUCCAGCCGGUAAUUGGGAUCGCCGAUCCCUAUCAUCAACAGAAUUACCGGGUUGGUUUCUCCUAUAGCAUCUGAUUGCUACGAGCGGAACUAUUGGUGAAGUUAUAUUUCGAUAAUAAGUGGAACAUUGUGUACCCACGCAUGAUGAGGCUCCCUCCUCCCUUUCCUUAAAUGUUUAAUCUACUGGAGCAGGUGGUGGCGUGUAGGGGUGUCAAAAACUAAACCGAACCAAAUAAAAAAAUUUGAUUUUUUCGGUUCGGUUUUCAUUAAAAAUAAAAAAAAAUUUCACUAGUUUAGUUUUUAUUGGUUCGGUUUACCGAACCAAAUUAGUAAAAUUUAAAAUUUUUCCUUAUUUUAUUUUAUUAUUUUAAAAAUCAUUUUUUUCUUUUUUUUUCUCUUUUUUGUAUUUAUUGGGUGGUGGCCGGCGACUGGCCAAAGACGAGCUCGAGCCUUGCCACAGGCUAGCAAGUUCAAGCCCUACCAAAUUCAGCCACUUGGGUAGGGCUCGAGCCUCACCACCUCACCAUAGGCCGGCGAGGCUUGAUCUUGUCUCUGGCUGGUCACCCGCCGCCAUCGUAGCCAGCGAUCGAUCAAUGAAGAAAAAAGAAAAAAGAAAAAAAAAGGAAUAAAAAAUAAUUAAAAAAUCAAUUUUCUUAAAAAAAUAAAAAAAAUUUAUAGAAAUGGGUGUAUGUAGGGGGAAAACAAAGAAAAAAGUGAAAACUGAAAAAUUGAACUGAACCGAACUGGGAUUUGGGUUCGGUUUAUAUUGAAUUUUGGUUUGGUUUAAUAAAUUUCAUUAUCAGCUCGGUUCGGUUCAUUUUUCCAAAAAAAAAUGAACUGAAUGGAACCGAAUCAUUUACACUCCUACUGCGGCGGAAUAGUAGCGGAACCCUUCGAUGGUGAGCCGGUGUUGCAAGACGAAGGGAAUUCAGCAAGUGAAAGCACAAACUUAUUAGGAGAGGUACUUGACGUAAUAAGUUAUAGAUAAAGGAGCUUUCAGAAUCCACGCGGCAAAAGAGAGACGAAAGUCGGGGUGUGCAUAUAAAAGUCUCGAAAUAAAGAGUCUUCUGCAUCGUGAUAUCAGUCCCUAUUUUGCUGCAUUCAAUUGGAACUUCUUCAUCUCGCUUAAACCAGAGCCGAUCGCAGAUGAAUAUGCCAUCGACGGAUUUUGUCAUCGCCGAGCAUCACUUCAAAAAAUGAUAUUCUCGUAAUCCACCUCUAAUUUCUAUGAUCUUCGUCCUCCGAUAGAGGAAAAUGGCCACGGCUAAAGCUCGAUCGAACUCGCACUCGUGACUUCAAGUUCCUAAUCAUCUGAAUGCUAUGAUAGGAUUAAGAGCUGAGUUCCCUCCUUUGGCUUUCAUACUCGACUCAAUUGGCAAUACUAACUCUCGUCAUCAUGUUUGUGUUACCCGUGCUCGCUUCAAUUAGCUCGAACUCCACCAAUGAAAUCAUUUGCACCACCCCUUAUAUAUAUAUAUAUAUAUAUAUACUAACUCCAUCCCCUUUUUAUUAAAAAGACAAAAUUGUAUUUAAUUAUUCCAUUACAAUUUAAAGUGGUAGCCCUCAAUUUAUUUACUUUCCCUCCGGUUGCCAUAAGUACGAAUAUCACACGUUUUAUUAUUGUUUAUUAUGAAUAUCUUAUGUAUAUUAAAUGCAUUAUGUUUUCUCUUUAUCUUCAGAUUUAGUUCCAUAAAAUUAGUUUUAUCGAAAAAAAGUAAUAAUAAGAGAAAUAAUUAUAUAAUAGUUAUCUAUGAGAAGAAUAGUCUAUUAUAAACAACAAAAAAUCAUAUCACAAAUAAUUAUAAAUUGUUAUGGAACCCACUUCUUUAAAAAUUUAUGAUUUACAAUAAACUCUCGAGUACUAUUAUAAUAACAAGAAGGAAGAAAAAGAUAUUUAGAUAUGGCCCUUUUUUUUCCCUUUAUAUAACUAAAUCUACCCAAUUUUCAUUAAAAGACCAAAUUACCCUUAAUUGUUCCAUUGCAAUUUAAAAUGGUAGCAUUAAAUUUUUUUAUCUUCCUUCUUUUGUUAGUUUUCUAUUCCUACAAAAGAUCUAGUUGCCAUAACUACCCGUAUGACGCGUUUUAUUCUUAUUUAUUAUGGAUAUCCCAUGUAUCUUAAAGAAAAUACAUUUUCUCUUUAUUUUUAGAUUCUUUCUUGAAAAUUAGUUUUGCCGAAACCAAGUAAUAAUAAUAAAAAGAAAGAAAAAAAAUAUUUUUCUGCAGUACUUUUUCCACUCCUUAUAAAGCUAAAUCCAUCGCAUUUCAUUAUAAAGACAAAUGACGUGUUUGGUAACGUUUCUGUUCCAAAAUUAUUCCAAGGAACAGAAAUAAAAAAAAAUGUUUAUGUUCCGAGGAAUAAUUUUUGAAUAAAAAAAUGCAUUUAGUAAACUUGUUCCGGGAAUAAAAAAUGAACAGGAACACGUUUGGUAAAUUUUAUUCUUUUUUUGUUUCUUUUAAUUUUUUAAUAUUUUUAUUUUAUUUUUCAUUUUUUCCUUUCUUUUUUAUUUUUUCUUCUUUCGGCUGGCAGCCUCGCCCAGCCACAGCGAGGCUCACCAGCCCCCGGUGAGGCCGAGCCUCACCGUUGUUGGGCGAGACUUGGCCUCGCCGGGGGCCGGCGACGCUCUGGCGAGGUCGCCGACCCUCGAUGGCGUCGCCAGCCCUCGACGGCCGAUCGCUGGCCAUGGCCGAGGCAAGCGACCGGCCAAAAAAAAAAGAAGAAAAAAAGAAGAAGAAAAGAUAAGAGAGAGAAGAAGAAGCGUUUCUUCAAAAUCAUUUAUGGAACAAGAAACAACUUUUUUUUGUUUCUCAUUUCUAUUCUUUUUGUGUUUCGGGAACAAAAAAACAAAAAAAGAACAGAAACGUAACCAAACGCGUUUAUGUUCUUUAUUUGUUCUCAAAAAAAAAAAAAAAAAAAAGGUCUGUUCUAGGAACAAAUUUCAGAAGUGAAAACAUGCAGGCCAAAGUUUCCCUCAAUUAUUCCAUUGCAAUUUAAACUGGUGGACCCCAUUUUUUUUUGUCUGAAUAUCCCAUUUAUAUUAAAAGCAUUAUGUAUUUUCCUUUAUUUUGAGAUUUUCUUCCACAAAAAAAAAUUAGUUUUCUGACGAUAAUGAGAAGGAAGCGAAACCCAAGGAGCCAAUUUACAGGUCACUUUCGGCGACUCCCGAGGAGCUAGCAGUAGCAGAGCAUCUUCUUCACUCCUUCACUCCUCCAAGCUGAUUCCGCAGACCAGAAGGAGCACGAUCGCUUCCGAAGAUGUCGAUCACCCUCAACAGCGGAUUCAAAAUGCCGGCGAUCGGUCUCGGCGUGUGGCGUAUGGAGAAGGAUGAGAUACGGGACCUCAUCCUGGGCUCCAUCAAGAUCGGCUACCGCCACUUCGAUUGCGCCGGUACCCCCGCAGCCGACUCUUCUUUUAGCCAUCUCCGGAUCCUCGUCUUUUCUAGGGUUUGGUCGAUUCAGUGCGGCCGUGUCUUUUUGGUUUUUAGUUCAUUGUCCGGUGCUGGUCGGCGUUCUGGACCAUCGUCGGCGGUUCGAGAGGAAUGGUUUCGGCGC